GAGGGGCUGAGCACACAGCCCUGAGGGGAGCCUGUGCUGAGCUUCAGGGUGGAAGAUGUAAAGGACCCAGCCUUACUGUUUCUGGACAAUCUGUCAGGAAGUCUUUGAUCCAGUCACAAGUGAGGGGAGGGAAAUUCAGGCUGAUUCAGAGGACCCAAAUAAUGGCCAGGAUGGCAAAUACAGCUCUGACCUUAAAUGCUCAGGAACCACAAAAAAAGUCCCAAAAGAUCUUCUGAGAAGCUGCUCCAUUCUAGAAUCUACCUUAUUCUCCUUGCUAGAACUGGCCCUUUAAAUUCUUCAAUUAAUCCCGGAAACAUUAUUUACUGUACAUAUACUCAUAGAUCCGGAUGGCAUACAUGUUGAUUUGCAAGUUUCGAUUAGCUUAAGCCUGUCUCUAUGUUCUCUGGAUUCAGAAUCAAUACAAUAAAAGCUUUUUAAAAACCUUUAAAA
Molecule: long non-coding RNA, 450 nt
Organism: Pantherophis guttatus
Lineage: Eukaryota; Metazoa; Chordata; Lepidosauria; Squamata; Colubridae
Source: RefSeq, a predicted model, not a curated record